GCGGGCGUAGCUCAGUUGGUAGAGCCCCGGAUUGUGAUUCCGGUUGUCGUGGGUUCGAGCCCCAUCGUUCGCCCCA
This 76-nucleotide transfer RNA is filed under the name Gammaproteobacteria bacterium. RNAcentral describes it as "tRNA-His". It matches the Rfam family "tRNA". Rfam says of the family: Transfer RNA (tRNA) molecules are approximately 80 nucleotides in length. The record is from RNAcentral. RNAcentral also lists the same sequence under 1 other name. Lineage: Bacteria; Pseudomonadati; Pseudomonadota; Gammaproteobacteria.